Long non-coding RNA from Melospiza melodia melodia, 2021 nucleotides. RefSeq lists it as uncharacterized. The record is from RefSeq and is a predicted model, not a curated record. NCBI's taxonomy places the organism in Eukaryota, Metazoa, Chordata, Aves, Passeriformes, Passerellidae. The transcript is spliced from 3 exons.
AAGCCAAACACUCCUCGCACUUCAGUGAGUGCAACUAGUUGCCUCUCACGCACAGGAACGUAAAAAGUUUCCCUGGCAAGGGACGGGACUUCCCUAAGAAAAGAAGAAGCCAACACUAUAAAGUAAUCCUGAGUUUCAAUGAUCAAGUAUGAUCAAAUGCCACACGACAGGACUGGUUGGCAUACCCUUUUAUAGGAUACAUUUGUCUCCUUUCUCUCAAGCUGGUCAGUGUGGAUGAAGGCAAAGUCCUUUCCUGCUCUGAAACUGAACACUCUUCUCUGCAAGAAAUUCAGCAGCUGCAUUUGGUCCUCUUUGCUCCAUUGUGUGGGGAAGCGGAAGAAAAUCCCUAAUUGCUUAGUCACAUUACAUACUCUUACCCUUCACCUUGUAUUAUCUUCUGACUAUAGUUUCACUGAGUGGAUUGAGUGGCUGUUGUUCAACCAGAUGCAUCACCCUCCUUCUGUCAAGUUAACUUCACUCUCCAAAGGGUCUAAGUAAAAGUUUUAAAAGAGGAGGCAAAAGUUAGGCCCUGUAUUUGGAGAGAGAUGUGAGAGAAAAGUCUUGGGCUUCAGAAGUCAUGAAUGUUAGAAGCUUUUGAGGUCAGCAAGUCACCAAAAAGGAGAGGGAAAAAGGGGACUUUAGUGAGUGGCAGCUCGGUGGUCUGUUGUGAGGUACUCGAACAUGGUAAUGAAGGUUUUGUGAAGUCUGGUUUCCUUCCACUUCAAUGAAGUGAAUUCCUGUUGUGGGGAACAGCCCUGCAGUAACAUUGGUCGUUUUAAUGGACAUAUCACUUUAAAGCAAGCUCUUAACCAUUUGUUGCACUCCCUCUUAAAAUGUACAGCUGACUUGAAAAGAUUGUCUGUAUCUUUGUUCAGUUUAACUUUCUUCAAAUUGAGGAGGUGUGGGAGGCCUGCAGUGCUGGGACAUGGUAUGGUCCCAAGGCAAAUCUCCCAGUAAGGAGCCUGGUCUUGAUGCCAUCAAGCGCUGUUUUGCUGUUGGUUUUGGUGAGGGUGGGCAGGGUCACAGCAAAACUGAGCAUCGCUUGUACUGAAGGAAGUCCUACAGAAACUGAUCUCAUAAUCAGACAAUUUUUUGCAAAGUUUUAUUGUAAGUAUGACUCACAGGCAGUAAUUAAAGGGUGAUUUUUGGUUAAAUCAAUGUGUUUAGGCCGAAGUAAAUUCCCAUGAGCUCUGUGGAAGUGAUUUCAGAAGGUGGCAAAUCUGAAAUGUAGUAAAAUACAUUGAUUCACAUAAAUGACUCUGUAUGACCAUAGAGAAGGUCAUGCUAGAAAUAGUCCUAACAGAGCCCAAGGAAGGGCUGCAGGAUCCACUUUUACACCAGAAUAGAAGAAUAAUGCCUUAUCCAUUUAAAGCAACAUGGGAAUGUAAGUAGGCAGGAUGUAAUUAUCUAGACUGGUGUUUGGCCAGGCACUCCUACACUGGCAAAAACUGCCAUGGGGUGUUUAAUGCCCACAGGUGCUCAGUAUCCUUGGUUUUACCUCUUAAUUAAAGACAGCACUUGUGAUCAUAUUCUUUCUGCUGGUUCAAUACUGCGUCAGCAGAAGAAUGCCACACUGCACAAAUACCAUUUCACAGAGUAACAUGGAAUUUCCUUGGAAGUCUUCCAUGCAAAUACUACAGACCCAACCCUACUUACCUUGUGAAAUCUAGUGAGGUUACAGCCAUAAGCAGUGUGGCCCCAGAGAAUCAUGUUUGCAUAUGUUCCUAAAAACAAUAUGGGGUUUGGAAUAUUAAUAAAUAAUUUUAAAAUUAAACCAAUAUUCUUUUGUAUUGCAUCUCAGCGACAACAAGGUUGUGUUGCUGUUUAAGCAAAGGAAUUAUGGUAAAGUUAUUCUGAGAAAAGCUAAUGACAGAGAGUCACUAUUUUGGCAAUGGAUCAUUAUUAUGAUUUAAGUGCCUACGAUGUCCUGCAUCCAGAUGAGGUACCUGUUGCAAAUUUUCUUUUGCAAAAGCAGGGCUUUGAAAUAUGGUUUCUUAUUUUCAGGUUCAAGUAUGAAAUCC